AAGGUGUGAUUGGAUUGUGACCAGCGAGCAACAGAUAAGUUUGUUUAAAUGACACUAAUUGUUUGAUUUAUUGAUAUUAAUUUCUUUGUAAAGCCUAUCAUAGACAUGUAAUUAAUGUGUAAUAGGCAUGUAAUAAUUGUUUUACAAUAUUAGUAGUAAAGGUCACCAUUUUAAGGUACAAUCCUCACUAUUCAAACUGUUUACCAUGACUUUUAGCUCAAGAAACUACUAUAGUUUUCUUUAAUAGUUAGUAUUAGGGAUGUAGGAUAAAACCAUACUUUACAAUUACUAAUAAACAACCAACAUCUGUGGUGUCUGAUGAUGCUUUCCAGAAAAAAAAGAUACAUAAUAGUUUUGAUGAUAUACAUUAUCAUAUAUUGAUGUCACAUAUAAAUAUGUACAUUUAUUUUAAACUAAAUUGAUAUAUCUGUGAUUUAAAAUAGCUCUAAUGGAUCCUUUUCACAAGACUGAGGCAUUUAAGUCAUCAGUAUCUUAAAUCCUUGAAAGUUUUUAUUAUAUUUUGUAAUAAAAAAAGAAACCAUGAACAUUUAUAUGUGUUUACGUAUGUAUUAUAUCAUCUUUGUAUCAAAAUACAAAAAACAAUUAACUACUUGUGCGAGGCAUUUAAAAUGCAGCGUUUAUGGGCGGGAAAGUGUUCUCUCUUUUGGCUGCAAUUAUCAGUCUCACACUUUUAUUUUUUGUUAUUAUUAUUUAUUUUUAUUUAUUUUUUUGCUUUUUCUGAAAGUCUUACUUACACCGUAGUGGAGUUUUACUUUUAUUUCAGCAAAUAGGAUUUAAAAAAAAAGAUUUGUUGUAAACAUCACGUUUACUGUGUUUCAAGUUUACCUGAUUAUGAUGACUUCUGAGAAACCCAUGAAAAAGGUCCAUGAUGAUAAAUAUUUUUAUAAUAUUUAAGAAUAUUUUUAAUAAUAAGUUUUUAUUUACUAGUCACGCUUUUGUUAAACUUAUAUGUUUUUAAUGGAGGACUUUUACUAGAUGACGCACUGCUACGCUGGUCGAGAGAGCUCAACGCACAGCAGUUUAGCACGUUAAGCUCUUUUAGCCACCGUACUCUGCUGUUGGUUUUGUUAAAUGACAAGAAGCAUGGUAUGUAUUUAAAUUUGCUCAUAAAACAAUGAACAUUUCCCUUUUCAUGAUUUUGUUAUUAGUAUGAAAGCAUGUAUAAUAUUAAACAAUUACAGAAGAUCAUGUUGUAUGUAACAAUGACAGCGGUACUUUGUUCCGGUUUAGCAAAAUUUAUUCUGAGUUCUUAAAAGAUAUUAUUAGCUCUGUGGCUCUUGUAAUCAGUUGUGUUGUAUGUUGUUACGUGUUUAGAAACUGUAAAUUGGAAACAUUUUAGAUUUACAGUCUUUGUUUAGCUGCAAAUUUUGCUGAUUGCCUUCAUAAAUUUUUUUGGACUUUUGAUUAUCCAUCGAGCUCAGCAUGACGCAAAGGCCUAGUGAAGCCUUGUCAAUAUUAUGCUUAAUUUGGAAUAUGACUUUGCAGUACAUGCUGUAUCGAUAUGUUAUGUGCACUACUGUCAGUACAACUUGUGGUGUGAUGGUUAGUUAUGGUUUGGAAGUCAAAAGUUAGAAAAUCUCAAGGCCUGAUUCCUAAUAGGGAUCACUGUUGCAAACCUUAACAUUACUUAUUUUACUAGCUCAGUUUGGGUUUUCACGGUAAACUAAAGCAUUCGUUUUAAAUGUAUAUAGAAAUAAAGCACGUGCAGUAGUUUAUUUUUACUGAAACAGUCUGAAUUAUCUGGACAGGAUAAAAUAUUCAGUUUGAAUUCGGAAAUAAGGGCUGCACGGUGGCACAGUGGGUAGCACGUUCGCCUCACAGCAAGAAGGUCACUGGUUUGAGUCUCGGCUGGGUCAGUUGGCAUUUCUGUAUAGUUUCUGGCAUUUCUGUUCCGUGGAGUUUGCAAGUUCUCCCUUUGUGUGGGUUUCCUCCGGGUGCUCUGGUGUCCCCCACAGUCCAAACAUAUGCGCUAUAGGUGAAUUGGGUAAGCAAAAAUUUUCCAUAGUGUUUAUGUGAAUGGGUGUACUGGGUUGCAGCUGUAAGGGCACCCGCUGCAUAAAACAUAUGCUGGAUAAGUUGGCGGUUCAUUCCACUGUGGCGACCUCAGAUUAAUAAAGGGACUAAGCUGAAAAGAAAAUGAAUGAAUGAAUUCAUAAAUAACUUUGUUUAAAACAUAUUAGAAAUCACACUUUUCUUUUGCGUCCUGCUGAUUACAUUUGUUUUUGUAUUUGUUUUCAGGGAUCAAACAUAUGUUGCCCUCGCAGACCAGUGGAUCAGAUUAAGACCUCUGUCCAGUGUUGUGAAAAACCUGAAGGAGUGGGUGGAGUCAUAGUAUAUGAUGGUGAGACAUUCACCAUAAAGAAACAUCAUCUGGGGGCUGUUCCAUGGUGCAGUGAUGCGAACCAGGGCUGGACUGGGGCAAAAAAUCUGCCCUUGCAUUUUGGGCCAGAGCGGCCCAUCUGUGCACGCCCUUGAAUAUAAGUUUAUAAAGGCACAAAAGCAAUAUAA
This is a long non-coding RNA of Danio aesculapii, 2529 nucleotides long. RefSeq lists it as uncharacterized. The record is from RefSeq and is a predicted model, not a curated record. NCBI's taxonomy places the organism in Eukaryota, Metazoa, Chordata, Actinopteri, Cypriniformes, Danionidae. The transcript has 3 exons.